GCUUGGGUAGCUCAGUUGGUAGAGCACUUGCCCUGCGAAGGCAAAGGUCCCGAGUUCGAGUCUCGGUCCGACACA
RNAcentral lists this transfer RNA (75 nucleotides) under Schistocerca americana (American grasshopper). Its description in RNAcentral is "tRNA-Arg". It matches the Rfam family "tRNA". Rfam says of the family: Transfer RNA (tRNA) molecules are approximately 80 nucleotides in length. Their secondary structure includes four short double-helical elements and three loops (D, anti-codon, and T loops). RNAcentral also lists the same sequence under 1 other name. The record is from RNAcentral. Lineage: Eukaryota; Metazoa; Arthropoda; Insecta; Orthoptera; Acrididae.